CAUGAGCUGUGAUGGGGAAGGAAAUUAAGUACGGAAGUUCCUGAUUUCACGCUGUCAAGAAAAGCCUCUAGGAAGAGUAGUACUGCCCGUACCGCAAACCGACACAGGUAGAUGAGGAGAGAAUCCUAAGGUGAGCGAGAGAACUCUCGUUAAGGAACUCGGCAAAAUGACCCCGUAACUUCGGGAGAAGGGGUGCUCUAUUAGGGUGCAAGCCCGAGAGAGCCGCAGUGAAUAGGCCCAGGCGACUGUUUAGCAAAAACACAGGUCUCUGCAAAACCGUAAGGUGACGUAUAGGGGCUGACGCCUGCCCGGUGCUGGAAGGUUAAGAGGAGUGCUUAGCUUCGGCGAAGGUACGAAUUGAAGCCCCAGUAAACGGCGGCCGUAACUAUAACGGUC
RNAcentral lists this ribosomal RNA (396 nucleotides) under Escherichia coli. RNAcentral's name for it is "partial 23S ribosomal RNA". It matches the Rfam family "Bacterial large subunit ribosomal RNA", at positions 1555 to 1950 of the family's 2925-position model. The record is from RNAcentral. Lineage: Bacteria; Pseudomonadati; Pseudomonadota; Gammaproteobacteria; Enterobacterales; Enterobacteriaceae.